AUUAUGAGUUAGGUGUCAGUUCGGUUUUCCGGUCUAAAUUCAGAAUUUCAUUUGAAUAAUUAGUCAAAUACAUCGACAAUUGGAAAUCCUUGGCUUACGGUCCUAGGAUACGAGGAUUCAUGACUGCCAGUGUAAAUUACGAAAAGAAGCAAAAUGAUAAAUCUGAAGAUGUUAAAGCAAUCGACGAUCGUGCAUCUGUGUUUCGCUAUUUCGUAUUUCACAUCUGGAUUGCUGUUGAACUUUGUACAGGCGAUUUUAUACUUUGGACUUAAACCGUUCAACAAAAAAUUGUAUAGGCAAAUAAAUUAUUAUCUUUCAUAUUCAUUUUACAGUCAAUUAGUAUUCAUGUCAGAAUGGUGGGCUGGGUCCACCAUGUCGUUAUAUGUAAAAAAAGAUGAAUACGAAAAGUUUUAUGGAAAAGAACAUGGAUAUUUAAUUAUGAACCACAGUUAUGAAAUAGAUUGGUUGAUGGGAUGGCAAUUCUGUGAUGGAAUCGGCGUUCUAGGCAACUGUAAAGCUUAUGCUAAGAAAUCAAUCCAGUAUCUGCCCCCGAUUGGCUGGAUGUGGAAAUUUUCAGAAUUCGUAUUUCUAGAAAGAUCUUUUGAAAAAGAUAAGGAAAUUAUCAAGAAGCAAAUAUCUGAACUUUGCGACUAUCCGGAUCCUGUUUGGCUAUUACUGACACCCGAAGGUACAAGAUAUACGAAAACGAAACACGAAGCGUCUGUUAAUUUCGCGAAGGAGAAAAAUUUGCCGAUUCUCAAGCACCACCUAACACCGCGCACUAGAGGCUUCACGACCAGCCUUCAGUUCUUCAGAGGGAAGAUACCGGCUAUUUAUAAUAUUCAAUUAGCUUUCGAAAAAGAGAGUAAGACUCCGCCAACACUGACAAGUUUAUUAUACGGGAAGCCAGUACACGCACACAUGUACAUUGAGCGGAUACCGGUUGAGAAUAUACCGGAGGAUGAAGCCGAAGCAACCAAGUGGAUGCACGAUCUUUUCGUCACAAAGGAUAAAAUGCAAGACUCAUUCUUGAAUACUGGAGAUUUCUUCUUACAAUCUGGCGUGGAGAGAGUUGAGGCUUUCACGUCGCGUCCGCGGAUAUACUCACUGUUGAACACUCUCGGCUGGGUGGUGAUCACACUAACUCCGAUGCUGUACUAUUUACUCGGUCUUCUGUUAAGCGGAAAGCUUUUGUAUUUCUCAAUUGGUUGCAUCAUAUUUGCCGCAUUUUUCGUUCUCUUACAAAAAUCUAUUGGAAUGUCAAAGAUAAGCCAAGGAUCUUCAUACGGAACUGAAAAGAAAUAACGCAAUUAAUAUAUUUUAAUUAAUUACAUAGUAAUAUGUAAAACAUCUAACAAAACUUUAAGCAAUCACAAUUGAAGAGUAAACUCCAGUCGCGUAAAGAAGCUGACACGCACAUUUUUUUAUUCGAAUUUUUAGCCUAAGAUUAUAUGUGAUUACUAUUAUUAUACUACUACUAUACUAACUAUUAUUAUAAAGAAUUCAUAAUUAAUUUGUCGGUAAGUACUAUGAUAGGUGAAGUACUAUUUUUCACGGUUAAGAAAUUUUUCGGAUAAAAGAGAAAGCAAAAAUAUAAAACUCAAAUUUAAACAAUAAAUUUUCCCUCUAGUAAAAUUGAUGCUGAUAAAGUUACAUUCACUACUAUUUUAACAGCAACAUUUUUGUGCCCAAAGUAAAUAUAUAGUGUAUCAGUACGGGUACGGGUCGAAUCGAAUAUCGAUCGUAGUAUUCGAUUAGUAUUCAAACCAACAAAGCCGAACAGUUGGAAUUUGACGACGUGUAUUUUCGCGCUUCACGCACCGCAUGAUAUAGAAUAGUUAUUUGUGCAACAAGAGAGCAAAAUUGUUUUUUGUUUCGAGUGCUGAUUUUGAGUCCUGAGCGUAGGGAGGGACUCAACAGCACGAGAUGCAACAAACUUUGCUCUCUUGUUGCACACAUAACUCACCUCAGAGGUGAGAACACAUAUUACUUAGGAGACAUAGAAAUGAACAGGAAUACAUUGAAAUAACGUUUAUUAUUUAAUAUGAUUUCUUUACAUUUUAGGGUAUUACGCGUUUCCGAACGUGUUUCCUUUGAGGUCGAAUUCCAAAAUCGAAUUUCGAAGG
Bombyx mandarina (wild silkworm) is the source of this 2126-nucleotide RNA transcript. It is a transcript of the gene named 1-acyl-sn-glycerol-3-phosphate acyltransferase gamma, with no coding region annotated. NCBI's taxonomy places the organism in Eukaryota, Metazoa, Arthropoda, Insecta, Lepidoptera, Bombycidae. The record is from RefSeq and is a predicted model, not a curated record.